GAACUCCUAGAAUGGUUAGGAUGUCGCCUUUACACGGCGAAGGUCCCCGGUUCAAAUCCGGGCGUGCCCA
This 70-nucleotide transfer RNA is filed under the name uncultured marine thaumarchaeote KM3_26_F01. RNAcentral's name for it is "tRNA-Val". It matches the Rfam family "tRNA". From Rfam's summary of the family: Transfer RNA (tRNA) molecules are approximately 80 nucleotides in length. Their secondary structure includes four short double-helical elements and three loops (D, anti-codon, and T loops). The record is from RNAcentral. Lineage: Archaea; Thermoproteati; Nitrososphaerota.